CAACAUAAGUUACUUUACAAUUACGUUUUAUUGCUAUAUUUCAAUUACUGCUUUACUAACAAAACUGUAUAUCAUUAAUUUCUCCAACUCCCAAUGAUAUAAAUGUGAAUCCAAAAGCACAUUUAAUUUAUAUAUGUUUCAACGGCUAGACAAGUACUAUUUGGCGACACAAAGAAGAAGUCCAUCUUAUUAUUGCUAUUGACCACAGUCCCAGCCUUGGAGGCUACAAUUGACUAUAAAUAAGUGAUCAACUUUUGUACUUCUUAUCACACCCAAGAACAAGUUAUAGUAGUUGAGUUUAAAAAUGGCUUCCUCAAAGGUUUUUCUAAUUGGCAUCAUUUUUGCUGUUCUUUUUCUCACUCCUUGCGUUGUUUCAGCUCGUCAGACGGCUGAGCCUAUCUCAACUCAAAAGACGCAAUCUGGGAUGCAGCGCAAUGGUAGACCUAUUUACUAUCGUAAUCCACCGAGUUACGGUCCUGGUUAUGGAUCUAGACCUUGUUCUGGAUGUUAAAUUUAUACAACCUAUGGUUCUUAAUGUUCUAUAUUACACUCUACUUAUCCUGCAAUAUCUACGCCUUUCAACUCACUUUCUUACCUUCACCAACAUUUUUUUUUUCCUUGUACUCGUGAUCAUUUUACACUUUUAAUAACCUUCUUCCUUAAAUCCUUAAUUAUGUACUGUGCAAAUGAAUAAGUGUUAAGAUCUGUUGAAAAAGAGUUAGGAUUAGUAACUAAAACAAAUAAUUGAGCGAGUGAUGAUAGUAUAAUGUUACAUUUUGUUUGUGUUCGUUUUCCAGAGUUGAUGGUUUUAUUUUAUUAUGAAUUAUUUCUUAUAUUUGUACUCCUCUCCAACUUUUACUAUAUGUCACAAUGUCAAGAAAGUCUCCUCAUUUUCAACUCUAGUCUUUUUUAUUAAUUUUUUUUUCUUUUUUUUGAGGGGGACUCUAGUCUUUUUUAUAUAUACACAAUACAUGUGACAUUGUGACAUCGCAAAUCUUCGUCUCUUAAGCUCUGUGUUUUAACUUCUAUUUACUUAGUAAGGUUUUACUCAUUUGCUAAUACUCUUGCCAUAGAUUAUUGAUUAAAUUUGAAUUAUUAAAUAAGGAUACUUGGAGAUGUACUAUUAACAUAUACAAAUUACUAAAUAUUUUAUAGUUUCAAAAUUAAAAUAAUUACUAAGGAAAAUUUGUCAAUUACUACCUCUAAAAAGGGCGGUUUGCUAUUCACUACCUUUAAAAAAUAAAGUUGUUUAUUACUAUCUCAAAAAGUGAUUCAUUUGUAUGAUUAUUAUCUUUGGUCUUUUCGACAAAUUAGCCCAAUAUUGACGUUACUUAUCACCUUAAAUAUAAUUUACAUUAAAACUAGUAAGGAAAGCCAUUGAUAAGUGAUUAAAUAAGAUUAAAAUGACAUAAAUUACAUUUUUUUGACUAAAAGUAACGUCAUAAUAUAAUUUCCAUUUCUUGGCUAAAAAGAUGACUAAUAGUUUAGGAAAAUUUGUUAGGAACUACCUACCUAAUAGGUCAUUUUGUCAAUAACUACUAGCUUAAAAUUUUUAUUAAAAAAACUACCCCUUAAAUUUAAAAAGUUUGAUUGGCACUACCCAUAUUGAUUUUCAGGCAAUAAAAUCCGAUAAUAAUUGUCUUUAGAAAACCUACAGCAAUGAAAAUAUCACAUCUAGGCCUCAAGAGGUCUUUGAAUAGUGAACUGCUAAACACCACUCGCAAAUCUCUACAUAAAGCCCAUAAAUUUGAAGUAAAGUGACACUUUUGCCCUCAAAGUAAAAAACACACUCUCAUCUUCUCUCUACUCUUUACUGUCAUUUUCUCUCUCUAAAAACUUUUCUAAAAUGUCGAGGCGACAAGGCAAGGAAGUGGCGGCACCGGUGGCGGGAGGAAGGCGGUUUCGCGGUGAAAAGGCAUCGCAUUUUGGACCUGGUGCGGGGAAGAGUAUGGACAUUGUAAGAAGUACGAUCUACUCAAUGGAGAGCUUGAGGCCCAGACACGUUAGAUCCCGUGGUAUUUCGGCCUCGGCUCGCAGAGAACGGGUGCACUAUUCUGAGGAUGAUGAUGGUGAUGAGG
Chenopodium quinoa (quinoa) is the source of this 2078-nucleotide long non-coding RNA. RefSeq lists it as uncharacterized. Lineage: Eukaryota; Viridiplantae; Streptophyta; Magnoliopsida; Caryophyllales; Amaranthaceae. The record is from RefSeq and is a predicted model, not a curated record. The transcript is spliced from 3 exons.